RNAcentral lists this ribosomal RNA (305 nucleotides) under uncultured bacterium. RNAcentral describes it as "bacterial SSU rRNA". It matches the Rfam family "Bacterial small subunit ribosomal RNA", at positions 333 to 636 of the family's 1533-position model. The record is from RNAcentral.
UGUAUCCUACGGGGGGCAGCAGUGAGGAAUAUUGGUCAAUGGUCGGGAGACUGAACCAGCCAAGCCGCGUGAGGGAGGAAGGUACAGAGUAUCGUAAACCCCUUUUGUCAGGGAACAAAGACUGGGACGCGUCCCCGGAUGAGUGUACCUGAAGAAAAAGCAUCGGCUAACUCCGUGCCAGCAGCCGCGGUAAUACGGAGGAUGCGAGCGUUAUCCGGAUUUAUUGGGUUUAAAGGGUGCGCAGGCGGUCUGUUAAGUCAGCGGUCAAAGCCCGGGGCUCAACCCCGGCCCGCCGUUGAAACUGG